GAUAUCACAAGAUAUUACAAUAAUACCAACAUAACCUCAAAUCAUAACCUAAAAUUCAAAAAAAUGAGUUUUAUCAAAGUCAUCUUUGUUUUUGUUGUUGUUAUGGCUCUAUUCCAAGAUGUUUGGAUGAUGCCCCAACCUCAUGGCGGCGCUUUAAUCGACAUUUCUUCUGUUAUCGAAAAUCCACAAAUCCUCAACUGCCUCAAUAUCCUUGGAGAAUAUUGUUACACCUGUGAAGGGUGUUAAACAUCUCAAAAAUAUUUUGUUUCUUGUAAAUAUGCUUCUGCUGAAUGUAAAUAAAAUUAUUUGAGGUUA
Long non-coding RNA from Dalotia coriaria, 315 nucleotides. RefSeq lists it as uncharacterized. NCBI's taxonomy places the organism in Eukaryota, Metazoa, Arthropoda, Insecta, Coleoptera, Staphylinidae. The record is from RefSeq and is a predicted model, not a curated record. The transcript has 2 exons.